UAGAAGUCCAUGACUUGCACAAAUAUUA
This 28-nucleotide small RNA is filed under the name Bombyx mori (domestic silkworm). RNAcentral describes it as "ovarian small RNA-6253". Lineage: Eukaryota; Metazoa; Arthropoda; Insecta; Lepidoptera; Bombycidae. The record is from RNAcentral.